Molecule: long non-coding RNA, 1908 nt
Organism: Oncorhynchus keta (chum salmon)
Lineage: Eukaryota; Metazoa; Chordata; Actinopteri; Salmoniformes; Salmonidae
Exons: 5
Source: RefSeq, a predicted model, not a curated record
CAGGUCAUUGAUUUGAACAGGAGACAAGGAGGCAGGCUAGCCUACAAGAGUAUAAAAACUGCAUGCCCAGGAAAGUCAUGAUAGAUGAACAGAACAUAAAACUAUACUACUUAUCUGUAAACCUCUACUCACUGGGCAUUGAGUACUGUACAUUUAUGGACAUGAAGAUGAUGAUUAUGUGAAUAAAGGAGUCUAUAAGUAAGUUAUAUUUUGAUGACCAGUAUGUUACAUAUGCCAAUACCUAGAUUAACUGUUUAUUACAUACAUUAACCCUUGACUGAAACAGGUUAAAACUAUGACAAUACUUGCUACUCAUUGAUUCAUUGCCUAGGAACAAUAAAACAAUCUCCCCAAUGUAAACUCAGAUAACCCAGGCUUACUGGAGAAAUAAAAAAACUAGCCUGGUCACAGAUCUGUUUGUGCUCUUGUCAAGCCAUACAUGCUGGAGUAGGCAUGAUAGCACAAACACACUAGCACUCAGGCUAAAAUAAAACAUUCAGAGCAAAGUAAUGGUUGGAGGAUAUGCAGGGUUGGGAAACAACAUUCAUGACCCACAAACACCACAGUCAACCAGGUCUUGGGUAUUUUAAGAUGCCCUAAUUUAAAGCCUGUUGCUAUAGGAUAUGGUUGCAUCAUUUCAUGCAAUACUGUUGCCUGGUUACCCAAACUCCUUGCUCUGGCCAAAUGCUACGCCAUACCCACAGACGUUAGAGUCUUCUCCGCAAUGAGUCUGGAUCUGAACGAUUUCUAGAAAGAAAAUCAAUUCUAGGCCGUCUGAUUGGUCCCAGAGACCGAUGUGUUGGGCCAGGGCCAGAACACACGUGGGUAAAGCGUUGUUUUGAAAAUGUGUCAUUGGCUUUGAUACAUUGAUUGGUUAUCAAUGAUCCAAUCUUUGAUGACUACGUUUUGUACAACACCCCUCAUUUUGACAUCGCCACAAAGGACUUAAGUGAUGUCAGUCUCUGGCUGAAGUAGCGAACGAUAGAGCAGCAGAAUAAUUCAGUUUGAGUUGUCAGCCAAGUGAUACAGAGAAGUAAAGCACAGGUAAGUGGUACAGAGAAGUAGAGCACAGGUAAGUGAUACAGAGAAGUAGAGCACAGGUAAGUGAUACAGAGAAGUAGAGCACAGGUAAGUGAUACAGAGAAGUAGAGCACAGGUAAGUGAUACAGAGAAGUAAAGCACAGGUAAGUGAUACAGAGAAGUAGAGCACAGGUAAGUGAUACAGAGAAGUAGAGCACAGGUAAGUGAUACAGAGAAGUAGAGCACAGGUAAGUGAUACAGAGGACAGAGAAGUAAAGCACAGGUAAGUGAUACAGAGGACAGAGAAGUAGAGCACAGGUAAGUGAUACAGAGAAGUAGAGCACAGGUAAGUGAUACAGAGGACAGAGAAGUAAAGCACAGGUAAGUGAUACAGAGAAGUAAAGCACAGGUAAGUGAUACAGAGGACAGAGAAGUAAAGCACAGGUAAGUGAUACAGAGGACAGAGAAGUAAAGCACAGGUAAGUGAUACAGAGAAGUAGAGCACAGGUAAGUGAUACAGAGGACAGAGAAGUAAAGCACAGGUAAGUGAUACAGAGGACAGAGAAGUAAAGCACAGGUAAGUGAUACAGAGGACAGAGAAGUAGAGCACAGGUAAGUGAUACAGAGAAGUAGAGCACAGGUAAGUGAUACAGAGGACAGAGAAGUAGAGCACAGGUAAGUGAUCAGUGUGGCUGGUAAAAACUCAUGAAUUGUAUCUAUACAUUCAUUAUAGGCUGCAAAUAGCAUUGAUAAAACCAUGAUUCGCCUUCUGAAGUCCCAGAACAAUGCAUACACGUCCCAAGUGAAUUCCCUAUAACUUCUUGAUUGGAAUGAAAAGGCUUCUCCUCUUUCCCUUUAACAGUAACAUUCAGAGAUUUAACACCAGCA